CUUUGGAAUUAAAUGUCAAACCAAGGUACCGAAUGUAUACAUGAUAAGAAUAUUAUUUUAAAUCUAAAAGCAUUAAAACGCGGAAUGCACACAUGAUCCUUUUAUUAUUUAAGCAUAUCAAUUCAAGGUUCGGGUAUGAACACAUAGGCUAAUAUUAAAAGCACAUUUAAAUAAUUAGGCAUUAAAAUUUCAGAUCAUGAUGAAAAGAAAAAUCACACAUUAACUUAGAAGAAAUGACGUCAUAUUCUAAUUCACGAACAUAAAAAUGUAACAGUAUGAGAAUUGAACCUCAAACGGAAAUCCCCAACCGCAACCUCGAACUGGAAAGCUUCGAACUUUAACUCUUACCUCGCUGAAUAAAUGGUCUAUGGGAGCAUUUUG
RNAcentral lists this long non-coding RNA (381 nucleotides) under Nicotiana benthamiana. RNAcentral describes it as "long non-coding RNA (NBEN_LNC012014)". Lineage: Eukaryota; Viridiplantae; Streptophyta; Magnoliopsida; Solanales; Solanaceae. The record is from RNAcentral.